This 301-nucleotide unclassified non-coding RNA is filed under the name Hevea brasiliensis (rubber tree). Lineage: Eukaryota; Viridiplantae; Streptophyta; Magnoliopsida; Malpighiales; Euphorbiaceae. The record is from RNAcentral.
GUUGUGGAGGAUGGAUAUGAAUUCUUUGCCGAGAGACAACUUGUUACAAUAUUUUCGGCCCCCAACUACUGUGGUGAGUUUGAUAAUGCCGGUGCACUGAUGAGUGUUGAUGAAGAAUUGAUGUGCUCUUUCCAGAUUCUUAAGCCAGCUGACAAGAAGGGUAAUAAAGUCAUGGUGCCAGCAAGAACGUAAUGGCAGAACACGCAUUUUGUCCUGGCUUUUCUAAGGCCUCUUUACCUGUUCAGCUGAGGGAAUUGACUUCAAAUAAAGUUGCUCAGCUUAACUUUUCUGCAGACUUAAG